AGAGAGAGAGAAAAACUGACUGACUUAAAACAUGAAGUUGCUUAUUUUGGGAAAAGAAGUCUAUCUCCUCUCUGGACUGACGCCCAGUCUGAAGGAAAAGUGCCUUUGAGGACAAGAGCCCUCCUGUGUGACAGGCACGGCAGAAGACACGUGGCAUCCCUGCACAAGCUCCUCCAUCACAUUAACACCCCAGUUACAGCCGCCAAGGAAUCUACUUGUAGGGUAACAGCUCAUGCAACUCAACAUGACAUGUAUUUUGGCCUCAAUUAAUUAUUUGCUGUUUCUGGAUCAACCCAGCUAAAUGAAAGCUGAAUGGUUUGUUGAAAAUUCAAGUCCAUUUAAAUUCAUUUUCAUCUACGUAUUUGGCUUCUUUCUUCAAACAGCUGUCAUUGCAGAAGACU
This is a long non-coding RNA of Nothoprocta perdicaria, 401 nucleotides long. RefSeq lists it as uncharacterized. Lineage: Eukaryota; Metazoa; Chordata; Aves; Tinamiformes; Tinamidae. The transcript is spliced from 5 exons. The record is from RefSeq and is a predicted model, not a curated record.